Molecule: ribosomal RNA, 301 nt
Filed under: uncultured bacterium
Lineage: Bacteria
Description: partial 16S ribosomal RNA
Rfam family: Bacterial small subunit ribosomal RNA
Source: RNAcentral
CAGUAGCCACGGGAAUACGUAGGGUGCAAGCGUUAUCCGGAAUUAUUGGGCGUAAAGAGCUCGUAGGCGGUUUGUCGCGUCUGCUGCGAAAACUGGAGGCUCAACCUCCAGCCUGCAGUGGGUACGGGCAGACUAGAGUGCGGUAGGGGAGAUUGGAAUUCCUGGUGUAGCGGUGGAAUGCGCAGAUAUCAGGAGGAACACCGAUGGCGAAGGCAGAUCUCUGGGCCGUAACUGACGCUGAGGAGCGAAAGCGUGGGGAGCGAACAGGAUUAGAUACCCCCGUAGUCCCUGUCUCUUAUAC